UACGUAGGGUGCGAGCGUUAAUCGGAAUUACUGGGCGUAAAGCGUGCGCAGGCGGUUCGUUAAGUCAGCUGUGAAAGCCCCGGGCUCAACCUGGGAAUUGCGGUUGAAACUGGCGAACUAGAAUCUGGCAGAGGGGGGUGGAAUUCCACGUGUAGCAGUGAAAUGCGUAGAGAUGCGGAGGAACACCGAUGGCGAAGGCAGCCCCCUGGGCUGACACUGACGCUCAGGCACGAAAGCGUGGGGAGCAAACAGG
Molecule: ribosomal RNA, 253 nt
Filed under: uncultured bacterium
Lineage: Bacteria
Description: partial 16S ribosomal RNA
Rfam family: Bacterial small subunit ribosomal RNA
Source: RNAcentral